Molecule: non-coding RNA, 72 nt
Organism: Phrynosoma platyrhinos (Desert horned lizard)
Lineage: Eukaryota; Metazoa; Chordata; Lepidosauria; Squamata; Phrynosomatidae
Source: the annotation of a GenBank genome assembly
GCCAGUGUGGUAUAGUGGUUUGAGUGUUGGAUUAUGAAUCUGAAACCAAGGUUUGAAUCCCUGUGCUUGGCC